RNAcentral lists this ribosomal RNA (484 nucleotides) under uncultured bacterium. RNAcentral describes it as "partial 16S ribosomal RNA". It matches the Rfam family "Bacterial small subunit ribosomal RNA", at positions 28 to 507 of the family's 1533-position model. The record is from RNAcentral.
AUUGAACGCUGGCGGCAUGCUUUACACAUGCAAGUCGAACGGCAGCGCGGGCUUCGGCCUGGUGGCGGGUGGCGAACGGGUGCGUAAUGCAUCGGCACGUGCCCAGUAGUGGGGGAUAGCCCGGCGACAGCCGGAUUAAUACCGCAUACGACCUGAGGGUGAAAGCGGGGGACCGGAAGGCCUCGCGCUAUUGGAGCGCCCGAUGUCCGAUUAGCAAGUUGGUUGGGUAAAGGCUUACCAAGGCGACGACCCGUAGCUGGUCUGAGAGGACGACCAGCCACACUGGGACUGAGACACGGCCCCGACUACUACGGGAGGCAGCAGUGGGGAAUUUUGGACAAUGGGGGCAACCCUGCUCCAGCCAUGCCGCGUGCGGGAAGAAGGCCUUCGGGUGGUAAACCGCUUUUGUUCGGGAAGAAAUCCUCUGGGCUAAUACCCCGGGGGGAUGACGGUACCGGAAGAAUAAGCACCGGCUAACUACGUG